Molecule: ribosomal RNA, 477 nt
Filed under: uncultured Candidatus Kuenenia sp.
Lineage: Bacteria; Pseudomonadati; Planctomycetota; Candidatus Brocadiia; Candidatus Brocadiales; Candidatus Brocadiaceae
Description: bacterial SSU rRNA
Rfam family: Bacterial small subunit ribosomal RNA
Source: RNAcentral
UUCGCAAUGCCCGAAAGGGUGACGAAGCGACGCCGCGUGCGGGAGGAAGGCCUUCGGGUUGUAAACCGCUGUCGGGAGUUAAGAAAUGCAAGGAUGUUAAUAGCGUUCUUGCUUGACUAAGGCUCCGGAGGAAGCCACGGCUAACUCUGUGCCAGCAGCCGCGGUAAUACAGAGGCGGCAAGCGUUGUUCGGAAUUAUUGGGCGUAAAGAGCACGUAGGCGGCCUUGCAAGUCAGUUGUGAAAGCCUUCCGCUUAACGGAAGAACGGCAUCUGAUACUACAGGGCUUGAGUACGGGAGGGGAGAGUGGAACUUCUGGUGGAGCGGUGAAAUGCGUAGAUAUCAGAAGGAACGCCGGCGGCGAAAGCGACUCUCUGGUCCAUAACUGACGCUGAGUGUGCGAAAGCUAGGGGAGCAAACGGGAUUAGAUACCCCGGUAGUCCUAGCCGUAAACGAUGGGCACUAAGUAGAGGGGUUUU